RNAcentral lists this ribosomal RNA (253 nucleotides) under uncultured bacterium. RNAcentral describes it as "partial 16S ribosomal RNA". It matches the Rfam family "Bacterial small subunit ribosomal RNA", at positions 524 to 776 of the family's 1533-position model. The record is from RNAcentral.
UACGUAGGGUGCGAGCGUUGUCCGGAAUUAUUGGGCGUAAAGGGCUCGUAGGCGGUCUGUUACGUCGGGAGUGAAAACUCAGGGCUCAACCCUGAGCCUGCUUCCGAUACGGGCAGACUAGAGGUAUGCAGGGGAGAAUGGAAUUCCUGGUGUAGCGGUGAAAUGCGCAGAUAUCAGGAGGAACACCAAUUGCGAAGGCAGCUCGCUGGGACGUUACUGACGCUGAGACGCGAAAGCGUGGGGAGCAAACAGG